UCCAAACUUGGUUACUCUCCUUCCCUUCC
This 29-nucleotide non-coding RNA is filed under the name Homo sapiens (human). Lineage: Eukaryota; Metazoa; Chordata; Mammalia; Primates; Hominidae. The record is from RNAcentral.